UGCGUUAUUGUCUCUAUACUCUUUGUUUAUUCUGAUUUCCGUCUUUGAUGUUAGAAGUUAUCCUAAAAUAUCUGUUGAUCCUUAGCAGAAAAGCGUUUAAGGGUGGAGCCAUAAAGGCUAAUUGGAAACUUUACAUGCAGAGGUGAACUCUUUACAUGGAGAGCUAAUUAAUUGCUUUAUCAUGUAAAAGAGGUUGUGAUAAAAAAUAAAGAAAAAAAUCUCUUCCAAAAACGUACAUGUAAAAAUAAUUCUAUGUUCAAGUUUAGGGAUUCACAAAUUAAGAACACCUUAGUUAAUGAAGUAAAACGCUCAUUGCUGUUUUUAUACCUUAAAACUAGUUAAUGAACAAAUACUUUCCUAGCCUCUGCUUUCACGCCUUAAAUGAGGGGAGCCCACCAUCAGCCAGGCCAAUCCAUUUUAUCUUGGAACAGCUCUAUUAUCAAAAAGAUAUUCUUUGAUCCAAAUUAUGUCUCUCUGUAACUUCUAUCCUUCUAUCUUAUUUAUGCUUAUUGGACAUGUUAAAAUCUAGUCAAAGAAUUUUUUUUUCUACUUGGAGCUUUUUAACACAAUUGAUAUUAAUCUUACAUCAGUAAUUCAGUCUUUCUUGGCUAGCACUAUAAAACCAAUACCUCUGUUUCCCUGAAAAUACCUGUAAAAAAAUUAGAAAAUAAUGUAUCCGCCACCCAGCCUUUCAAGGACAGUCCUGGAUUACUGGAUGCUUAGACUUGUGUUCUGUUUGAGAUGUAGAGAUGCCAACUGGAGUAAUCAGAGAGCAUAGACCCAUUUAUAUUGGGAAGAGUUAAUGACUGGGAGUGAGUGGCAGGUCAAGACUAGAUCUAGUUAGGCUGGGGGCCAGAGAAGAGUGUGCAUCAGCUACAUUUUGGGAGUUUUGAGAGAGAGAGAAACUUAUCCAGACUGGUCAGAACUUUUAUCUUCAAGUUUCCUGUGACACCAGGAAGCUCUUUAGCUUUUGCUAUUUUAUGAUAGCUUAAUACAUGGCUCUAUUCCCUCUCUACCCUACACUAACAGGGUUAAAGAGAUCAAGCCUGUUUUUUCACAGCUACUCCACACAAAUCCUGGAGUACAGUCCUUAUGCAACAGGGUGGCCAAGGAUCUUGAUAAAUCUUUCACACGCAACAAAAGCCAUUUGUUCCUCUUACACACAGCCAAAGAGGAGCUAACAGCAAACAUCCACCAAUAAACGCGGAUGUGUUGAUUUGGCAGAUGUAGAAAAUCACCAACUUUCAAAAAAACAUUCUUUAAGUUACCGUCUUGCUCCCUUAAAACCCAAUGCCUCCACAGCUCACCUCCAGAGUGGAAUCAAGUCCCCUUUAAGCUUUCUAUCUCACAUUUCCCUCUUAGCUUUGAUAUCACAAAGGUGGAUGAACUUCCAGUCUCUAACCUGGCUCCACCCCAGCACCUGGCUCUCUUGCCUUUAAGAGAGGACCAGCCAAGAAUGAACUCAGCUGGAGAGAAUGUGCAGGGAGAGCAGGAGCCAGGAAGCCAGGGGUAGAACAAACCCUCCCUCUGGAGGUGAUGGGGUCCACAGCUGUCCCAGGCCCCAGAACCCUGCAGUGCCAGUCAGGAGCCUGGCUCUGCCCCGUCUGCCCCUCUACACUCCUGGCAGGGGGUCUUUUUGUUGUUGUUCCCCCUCCUUCUCUCCUGAUUCCAGGCCCAGUGUUUGCUUGUCUUGCAGCCAAAGAUAAACUCCACGAAUUCAGAAGGCUACUCUUUAGCUAUCUGAAUAGAGCGCUGACUAACGGAAGGGGACAAUUUGUCUUAGGAAUUGCGUCCUUGUUUGCUUUUUCCUUCUUAGCUCGUUUUGACUAAGCAACAUAGUACAUGGAUUCAUAGAGUCUCAGGGCUGAAAGUAUCAUAAAAUGCAUCAAGGCUAAUCCCAUUCAAUCCUUGAACCCCAUAUUCACACCAUUCCAGAUCUAUCUUCCCUCCAUUGACACCAAAUUUAAGAAGCCCCCAUGUCUGCAGGCAGUGCUAUUAGAAUUCUCUUCUUCCACUGCAUUCCCUGAAGGCAAUACAUUUGAAAAGAGAAAAGUCAAACUCGUGGGUGUGUGUACUGUAGACAGGGACUCUGACUCCAUUUCUGGUGUUUGCAUUCAAAUCAAGAAAUCAUACUGCUUGGGAAGUCUUUCUUCGGCCUCUGGUAUAUUAAAAAGUUAGAAAGACAUUGGACUGAAAACAAAAUGCUAGAGGACACUGUUGUGUUUCAGAGUUGUGUGCAUUUGGGAAGAGUCCGGCAGAGACAGUGGGAGACAAGAGGGUCAGUCACUCCUUCUGGAGAGGUCAGUCGAUCUAGCAAACACCAUAGUCCACUCCAGCUCAGGAAGGAGCCUUGUGUGUUCAGUAGUUUAUUAAAUGCAAAACAUGUACAGUCUUUACUGAAUAGUAAUUAGAAGCAAACAACCCCUGAAGCUGACUAGAAAAAGAGACAGCAGGGACAGUGAACAUGGGACACAGGCUAAGAACAAAACAUGGUGCAAAGCCAAGGUGGCUGUUGGCUGCCCAAACCUGGGGCUCCACACAAAGGAGACCUCCUGACAAGUCGAGCAGAGGGGGCUCAAUGGGGCACACCGGGGGCGCACUUGGAAGUCAAACCACACUUGCAAGAUAAGGAAAAGCAUGAUUUGUUAUCGUCUAUGAAUAAUUGGAUCUCUGCUAUGCUGAAAAUGAAUGCAGCACAGGGACAGUCUCUGCUGCCCAGGCGUUCAGCAUGCCAAUUAGAAAUCCAGGGGAAGGGGCAGCAGUGGGAGGUGCCACAUAGCUUUAUGAAUGUUCCCCUGUCUCUGGGCAGACACUUGUGGGCCCUGGUGAGGACAUAAUGGAUGGUGGCUGAGCUUCAUGCCCUCCUCAGCACAGGAGGUGAUGCCCAUGGAGCCGAGGGCCAGAAGCACAGGAGGUUGGAAAACGGACAUUUUCCUUCUGUUCUUAAACCAGUCAGUGAACAGCUGGGUACCGAGAAAAUGAGCAGGUGAUUUCAGAUUUACGAAGUUGCAUCCUGCCCCCCUAGGCAGAGCCUUUGAGAGCAGAAGGUGGGAGGCUGACAGAGAUAGGUAGAUGUGGGCAUCUGAACCCAAAACACUAGCUCUGAUUACAUAUGGACCCUUGAACCAGCUGCUAGAAAGGGCUGCCAUAGUGCCAGGAAACUGUCCCUCUCUCAGCGUGGAGAAGCCAGUUCCAAACAGAGGCUGCUGCUUUACCUUGGGUCUCUGGAAUGAAAAUGAUGUGGAGCACAGCUGGAGCUGAUCUACAAUGGACAUGUGGCAUGAAUGAGAAGGGUGAUACAGUUGCCAUUAAAGGAGAAAAGAGUCGGUGAUCACACGGGGACUUUCAUACAAUACCUGGAAGUGAUAUACAUCAUUUCAGCCCACAUUCUGUUGUCCAGAAAACAAUUGGAUGCACCAACCAAACUGAAAAGGCAACUGGGAAAUGGAAUCUUCACUGUGCUCAAGAAAAAAUAAAUAAGAUUGCUAAGCUUAUGGCAGGUCCCUGCCUCAGUUUUACCUUCUAGUCAGCAAAUAUCCAUUUCAAUCUUCCUCUGACAUAUAAAACUCACUCACCUCUCCCAAGAGGGACAAUUCAAAGUUCUGUGCACUCAUGGAGUCUAAAGCUGAGCUACAGAUGUCUGGGAAAGGUACAGACUCCUCCAUCAGGUCUAAAUGAGACUCCACUUGAUCUGACAACCUAUGAGCUAAAAAGAAAAGCUGCCUGCCCCACUGCCACCACCACAUACACCGCAGCAAUGGGGAAACACAUCAAGGACAGCUUCAGCAAACCCUCCCAUUUGGAAGAGCAAGAAGGGAAGUCCCAAGUCAGUCACUGAACUGUAAGAAUUUUGAAGUCCCAUUGAGCAAAUACUCUGAAGGACCCCCAACCCUGGGGUGAGGAAAGACCCUCAAUUAAACUGGGUUCUGUUCUCUGGAGGGAACUCCUCUGCCCAUUGUUUUCCAGGGCCCCUGGCUCUGCCCACAGAGGCUCCUCUUGGUUUAUUAUCCUCCUUGGCCACAUCUGAGGAUGGCCUCAUGGAAAUAAGACAUUUGAAGCUGUCUCCUUCCAGCUUCAGAUAUCAAUUUCCUUGCCACCCACCUACAUCCUCCUUA
Equus caballus (horse) is the source of this 4115-nucleotide non-coding RNA. The record is from RefSeq and is a predicted model, not a curated record. Lineage: Eukaryota; Metazoa; Chordata; Mammalia; Perissodactyla; Equidae.